Molecule: ribosomal RNA, 549 nt
Filed under: uncultured bacterium
Lineage: Bacteria
Description: bacterial SSU rRNA
Rfam family: Bacterial small subunit ribosomal RNA
Source: RNAcentral
UGGGGAAUAUUGCGCAAUGGGGGCAACCCUGACGCAGCCAUGCCGCGUGUCUGAAGAAGGCCUUCGGGUUGUAAAGGACUUUUGUCAGGGAAGAAAAGGAGUUGGUUAAUACCCGACUCUGAUGACGGUACCUGAAGAAUAAGCACCGGCUAACUACGUGCCAGCAGCCGCGGUAAUACGUAGGGUGCGAGCGUUAAUCGGAAUUACUGGGCGUAAAGCGAGCGCAGACGGUUUGUUAAGCAGGAUGUGAAAUCCCCGGGCUCAACCUGGGAACUGCGUUCUGAACUGGCAGGCUAGAGUGUGUCAGAGGGGGGUAGAAUUCCACGUGUAGCAGUGAAAUGCGUAGAGAUGUGGAGGAAUACCGAUGGCGAAGGCAGCCCCCUGGGAUAACACUGACGUUCAUGCUCGAAAGCGUGGGUAGCAAACAGGAUUAGAUACCCUGGUAGUCCACGCCCUAAACGAUGUCAAUUAGCUGUUGGGCAACUUGAUUGCUUAGUAGCGUAGCUAACGCGUGAAAUUGACCGCCUGGGGAGUACGGUCGCAAGAUUA